This 950-nucleotide ribosomal RNA is filed under the name Salmonella enterica. Its description in RNAcentral is "partial 23S ribosomal RNA". It matches the Rfam family "Bacterial large subunit ribosomal RNA", at positions 1993 to 2925 of the family's 2925-position model. The record is from RNAcentral. Lineage: Bacteria; Pseudomonadati; Pseudomonadota; Gammaproteobacteria; Enterobacterales; Enterobacteriaceae.
CGAAUGGCGUAAUGAUGGCCAGGCUGUCUCCACCCGAGACUCAGUGAAAUUGAACUCGCUGUGAAGAUGCAGUGUACCCGCGGCAAGACGGAAAGACCCCGUGAACCUUUACUAUAGCUUGACACUGAACAUUGAGCCUUGAUGUGUAGGAUAGGUGGGAGGCUUUGAAGUGUGGACGCCAGUCUGCAUGGAGCCGACCUUGAAAUACCACCCUUUAAUGUUUGAUGUUCUAACGUGGACCCGUAAUCCGGGUUGCGGACAGUGUCUGGUGGGUAGUUUGACUGGGGCGGUCUCCUCCUAAAGAGUAACGGAGGAGCACGAAGGUUGGCUAAUCUUGGUCGGACAUCAGGAGGUUAGUGCAAUGGCAUAAGCCAGCUUGACUGCGAGCGUGACGGCGCGAGCAGGUGCGAAAGCAGGUCAUAGUGAUCCGGUGGUUCUGAAUGGAAGGGCCAUCGCUCAACGGAUAAAAGGUACUCCGGGGAUAACAGGCUGAUACCGCCCAAGAGUUCAUAUCGACGGCGGUGUUUGGCACCUCGAUGUCGGCUCAUCACAUCCUGGGGCUGAAGUAGGUCCCAAGGGUAUGGCUGUUCGCCAUUUAAAGUGGUACGCGAGCUGGGUUUAGAACGUCGUGAGACAGUUCGGUCCCUAUCUGCCGUGGGCGCUGGAGAACUGAGGGGGGCUGCUCCUAGUACGAGAGGACCGGAGUGGACGCAUCACUGGUGUUCGGGUUGUCAUGCCAAUGGCACUGCCCGGUAGCUAAAUGCGGAAGAGAUAAGUGCUGAAAGCAUCUAAGCACGAAACUUGCCCCGAGAUGAGUUCUCCCUGAGACUUUAAGUCUCCUGAAGGAACGUUGAAGACGACGACGUUGAUAGGCCGGGUGUGUAAGCGCAGCGAUGCGUUGAGCUAACCGGUACUAAUGAACCGUGAGGCUUAACCUUACAACGCCGAAG